This 337-nucleotide ribosomal RNA is filed under the name Brachistosternus turpuq. Its description in RNAcentral is "partial 12S ribosomal RNA". The record is from RNAcentral. Lineage: Eukaryota; Metazoa; Arthropoda; Arachnida; Scorpiones; Bothriuridae.
UAAAAAAUUAUUUAUUUUAGGUAGUAACAGAUUUCUUGAAACCUAAAGAAUUUGGCGGUAUUUUAAAUAAUUAGAGGAACCUGUUAGGUAAAUGAUAAUCCACAACAUAUCUUACCUGAAUUUAGUUUGUAUACCGUUGUUUUUAGAUUAUGUUUAAAAAUUAUGAUCAAAAUUAAUUAAUUUCUAUAAAUCAAAUCAAGGUGCAGCAUAUUUAGGUCUUAAUGGGUUACAAUAUAUUUAUAAUAUAUAACGGAUAAAUUAUGAAAAUGUUUUUGAAGGUGGAUUUAAAAGUAACUUGAAAUUAAAAUGUUUGGGUGAAUAAAAAUUUAAAAUAUGC